RNAcentral lists this ribosomal RNA (520 nucleotides) under uncultured bacterium. Its description in RNAcentral is "bacterial SSU rRNA". It matches the Rfam family "Bacterial small subunit ribosomal RNA", at positions 9 to 518 of the family's 1533-position model. The record is from RNAcentral.
AGGUUCGAUUCUGGCUCAGGAUGAACGCUAGCUACAGGCUUAACACAUGCAAGUCGAGGGGCAGCAUAUCGAAAGCUUGCUUUGAUGAUGGCGACCGGCGCACGGGUGAGUAACGCGUAUCCAACCUUCCCUAUACUAGAGGAUAGCCCGGCGAAAGUCGGAUUAAUACUCUAUGUUCUUCGUAGAAGACAUCUGAAAUGAAGCAAAGGUUUACCGGUAUAGGAUGGGGAUGCGUCUGAUUAGGUUGUUGGCGGGGUAACGGCCCACCAAGCCCACGAUCAGUAGGGGUUCUGAGAGGAAGGUCCCCCACAUUGGAACUGAGACACGGUCCAAACUCCUACGGGAGGCAGCAGUGAGGAAUAUUGGUCAAUGGACGAGAGUCUGAACCAGCCAAGUAGCGUGCAAGGAUGACGGCCCUAUGGGUUGUAAACUGCUUUUAUACAGGGAUAAAGUGCACUACGUGUAGUGUUUUGUAGGUACUGUAUGAAUAAGGACCGGCUAAUUCCGUGCCAGCAGCUGC